UGUUAAUAUAACAAAAUACUAAAUAGAAGACAAAUCAAGUAGAUUGCUUGCAGACUCAUGCUCACAACGAAAAUAGGAAAUUCUCACUAAGGACAAAUCGUUAAAUGGUUGUAUUGAGAUACAGGCAAUCAAUGAAACCUCUUUUAAAUUAAACACAAUCCUCCCCCACCCCUUCCCACUUCACCACAAUUCUUAAGAACUACUGAAGAUCAUGGUCUGAUGUGAUUCUUUUGGGCUCUGAACAUAGCACAAUUAACUCAAUAUUUUCAUCAAUAUGCACCAAAAAGCAAUCAAAUACCACUGUAAAGGUCACCACCUGCUCCUGAUGGAUACCCGGCGCAACUGCUUCCAUCACUAAUCAUUUUCCAUACAACUUGAAUGCCCAUUAAACAUUUGAUUUACAAUAAAAUAGUCUGCCAUACCUUGGAUGUAUCACUUACCAGAAUCUGACAUUUAUAGCUUAGAAUUUUUUGGCAGCAAAGUAAAAUACUAAUAUAAAUAUCGCAUAGAUUGAAUGCAAAAAUGUUCCUCUUUGUUAUACAUUGAUUGCAAUCAGAUGUGCUUCGUACAAGGGUGUAUAGAAAGUCAGUUAUAAAACUGGAAUGCAAAAAUGACAGCUAGCAUUCAUUUAUUUAUUUAAAUAUGGAUGAGAACAUUUAGCAUUGUCACAGAGAUGUGAUUGAGUUGCCCAUUUAAAAACAAAAGUGUCAUGCGCAUAUUUUAUGAAAGAAUAGGAAUUUGAUUUUUUUAAAAAUGCCAAGCAAAAUGCGUUCCCCAAUUAGAUCAUGCAGGCCAAAAUUGAAAAAGUGGCUAAUAUGCACUUUUGCACUAGUUAGGGUUACGUUGCACUAGUCAGGGGAAGCUACACUUCACGUAUGAUGUCAUAGUAAGUGGACACACAAUUGUAGCAAUGUUAGCAAAUCACUGCAGUUCCAAAGAAUAUGUUUAAGGCUAAACAAACAAUAAAUUAUUUGCAACUUGCACGGAACCAUACCAAG
Pelobates cultripes (western spadefoot toad) is the source of this 998-nucleotide non-coding RNA. The record is from the annotation of a GenBank genome assembly. Lineage: Eukaryota; Metazoa; Chordata; Amphibia; Anura; Pelobatidae.